UACGGAGGGGGCGAGCGUUGUUCGGAGUUACUGGGCGUAAAGCGCACGUAGGCGGUGCGGUAAGUCAGGGGUUAAAGGCUGCAGCUCAACUGCAGUAAGGCCUUUGAUACUAUCGUGCUAGAGUGUCAGAGAGGAUGGCGGAAUUCCCGGUGUAGCGGUGAAAUACGUAGAUAUCGGGAGGAACACCAGUAGCGAAGGCGGCCAUCUGGCUGAUAACUGACGCUGAGGUGCGAGAGCGUGGGGAGCAAACAGG
This 253-nucleotide ribosomal RNA is filed under the name uncultured microorganism. RNAcentral's name for it is "partial 16S ribosomal RNA". It matches the Rfam family "Bacterial small subunit ribosomal RNA", at positions 524 to 776 of the family's 1533-position model. The record is from RNAcentral.